Trifolium pratense (red clover) is the source of this 765-nucleotide long non-coding RNA. RefSeq lists it as uncharacterized. The record is from RefSeq and is a predicted model, not a curated record. NCBI's taxonomy places the organism in Eukaryota, Viridiplantae, Streptophyta, Magnoliopsida, Fabales, Fabaceae. The transcript has 4 exons.
AAAGUCAUCACUGUGCAUCCACAAGCCCGUGAUCUCACUGCUUCUCACUUCGCAUUUGCAAGUUUCUUUGAUUUUGUUUUCUUCUUAAUUAAUUAAUUCAUAGGCAUAAGAAGAAUUUCUUGUUUGAAAUGUUACAUUAGCUGGAUUCCGCAAUUCUCCAGAUAAUACAAAGUGUUUCUUCUCUUCAAAUAUGGACGACAACAUCAAACACUUUCAAAAGAAAUUAACAGAAUUGGAACUCCAAGCUGAACAUCUUCUUCUGGUUCGACAUCAGGAACUGAUCUGUUUGUGGGAAUUCCAUUUCAUGCUGCUCAUACUAUAUUGGAAACAGAUCAAACAGAACUUGACUUUGAGGCCAAGAAACUACAGAGCACUGUGAAGGAAAAAUCGUAUCUUAUAUCAGAAACAGGUGCUCUCGCAGACUUGAUAAGUCCAGGAGUGCUUAAGUCACUUGUAACCUUAAAUGAUAAACCAAAGUAAGAUGUCUUGUGCUUACUAUGGUGUGUUACGGUGUCUUCUGGAAUAUACUUGAGGCAAGUGAGUAUCAUGCAUUAUCUCUACCUAUCAGAGUUUACUUAUUCUUUCUACAUGCACCAACAAGUAACCUAUGCAGAAGUUUCUGAGUCGUGAAGUUUUAGAAGCUGCUCAUAAGACUUAAUCAUACUGAGUGAAGGGUACAAAAUUAUGAGUCAUACAAACUUCAAUUUGUUUGUAAUGGAGGCUUAUUAUUAUAAUGACAUCUUAUUUAAAUUUGAAUUGAUUCUC